This 330-nucleotide ribosomal RNA is filed under the name uncultured Acidobacteriota bacterium. RNAcentral describes it as "bacterial SSU rRNA". It matches the Rfam family "Bacterial small subunit ribosomal RNA", at positions 568 to 898 of the family's 1533-position model. The record is from RNAcentral. Lineage: Bacteria; Pseudomonadati; Acidobacteriota.
UGUGUAGGCGGUGUCGUAAGUUUGGCGUGAAAUCUCCCGGCUUAACUGGGAGGGUGCGCCGAAGACUGCGAUGCUUGAGGAUUGGAGAGGAAAGUGGAAUUUCUGGUGUAGCGGUGAAAUGCGUAGAUAUCAGAAGGAACACCUGUGGUGUAGACGGCUUUCUGGACAAUUCCUGACGCUGAGACACGAAAGCGUGGGUAGCAAACAGGAUUAGAUACCCUGGUAGUCCACGCCCUAAACGAUGCAUACUUGGUGUGAGCCAUUCACUUGGUUCGUGCCGGAGCUAACGCGUUAAGUAUGCCGCCUGGGGAGUACGGUCGCAAGGCUGAA